GACAGAGGGUGCAAACGUUGCUCGGAAUCACUGGGCGUAAAGCGCACGUAAGCGGAUUGCUAAGUCAGGGGUGAAAUCCUGGAGCUCAACUCCAGAACUGCCUUUGAUACUGGCGAUCUCGAGUCCGGGAGAGGUGAGUGGAACUGCGAGUGUAGAGGUGAAAUUCGUAGAUAUUCGCAAGAACACCAGUGGCGAAGGCGGCUCACUGGCCCGGUACUGACGCUGAGGUGCGAAAGCGUGGGGAGCAAACAGG
This 253-nucleotide ribosomal RNA is filed under the name uncultured bacterium. RNAcentral describes it as "partial 16S ribosomal RNA". It matches the Rfam family "Bacterial small subunit ribosomal RNA", at positions 524 to 776 of the family's 1533-position model. The record is from RNAcentral.